AUUGAACGCUGGCGGAAUGCUUUACACAUGCAAGUCGAGCGGCAGUACGGGUGCUUGCACCUGGUGGCGAGUGGCGAACGGGUGAGUAAUAUAUCGGAACGUACCUAGUAAUGGGGGAUAACUAGUCGAAAGAUUAGCUAAUACCGCAUACGCCCUGAGGGGGAAAGCGGGGAUCGUAAGACCUCGCGUUAUUAGAGCGGCCGAUAUCUGAUUAGCUAGUUGGUGGGGUAAAGGCCCACCAAGGCGACGAUCAGUAGCUGGUCUGAGAGGACGACCAGCCACACUGGAACUGAGACACGGUCCAGACUCCUACGGGAGGCAGCAGUGGGGAAUUUUGGACAAUGGGCGCAAGCCUGAUCCAGCCAUUCCGCGUGAGUGAAGAAGGCCUCGGGUUGUAAAGCUCUUUCGCAAGGGAAGAAACGAUAUAGACGAAUAAUCUAUGUUAAUGACGGUACCUUGAUAAGAAGCACCGGCUAACUACGCGCCAGCAGCCGCGGUAAUACGUAGGGUGCGAGCGUUAAUCGGAAUUACUGGGCGUAAAGCGUGCGCAGGCGGUUUUGUAAGUCAGAUGUGAAAUCCCCGGGUCUCAACCUGGGGAACUGCGUUUGAAACUACAAGGCUAGAGUAUAGGAGAGGGGGGUAGAAUUCCACGUGUAGCAGUGAAAAUGCGUAGAGAUGUGGAGGAAUACCAAUGGCGAAGGCAGCCCCUGGCCUAAUACUGACGCUCAUGCACGAAAGCGUGGGGGAGCAAACAGGAUAGAUA
Molecule: ribosomal RNA, 763 nt
Filed under: uncultured bacterium
Lineage: Bacteria
Description: bacterial SSU rRNA
Rfam family: Bacterial small subunit ribosomal RNA
Source: RNAcentral